GCUCAGAUUGAACGCUAGCGGGAUGCCUUACACAUGCAAGUCGAACGGCAGCACGGACUUCGGUCUGGUGGCGAGUGGCGAACGGGUGAGUAAUGUAUCGGAACGUGCCUAGUAGCGGGGGAUAACUACGCGAAAGCGUAGCUAAUACCGCAUACGCCCUACGGGGGAAAGCAGGGGAUCGCAAGACCUUGCACUAUUAGAGCGGCCGAUAUCGGAUUAGCUAGUUGGUGGGGUAACGGCUCACCAAGGCGACGAUCCGUAGCUGGUUUGAGAGGACGACCAGCCACACUGGGACUGAGACACGGCCCAGACUCCUACGGGAGGCAGCAGUGGGGAAUUUUGGACAAUGGGGGAAACCCUGAUCCAGCCAUCCCGCGUGUGCGAUGAAGGCCUUCGGGUUGUAAAGCACUUUUGGCAGGAAAGAAACGUCGUGGGUUAAUACCCCGCGAAACUGACGGUACCUGCAGAAUAAGCACCGGCUAACUACGUGCCAGCAGCCGCGGUAAUACGUAGGGUGCAAGCGUUAAUCGGAAUUACUGGGCGUAAAGCGUGCGCAGGCGGUUCGGAAAGAAAGAUGUGAAAUCCCAGAGCUUAACUUUGGAACUGCAUUUUUAACUACCGAGCUAGAGUGUGUCAGAGGGAGGUGGAAUUCCGCGUGUAGCAGUGAAAUGCGUAGAUAUGCGGAGGAACACCGAUGGCGAAGGCAGCCUCCUGGGAUAACACUGACGCUCAU
RNAcentral lists this ribosomal RNA (733 nucleotides) under uncultured Achromobacter sp. RNAcentral's name for it is "bacterial SSU rRNA". It matches the Rfam family "Bacterial small subunit ribosomal RNA", at positions 22 to 750 of the family's 1533-position model. The record is from RNAcentral. Lineage: Bacteria; Pseudomonadati; Pseudomonadota; Betaproteobacteria; Burkholderiales; Alcaligenaceae.